CUCGGAGCCCACGCGGGCCCGCUCCCCUCCUCCCACUUUGUACUUCUGAAGCGAGCAAGAAGGAAGUGUGAACCCCACCAUGUAGGAGCGAGAGGGGGGACAGGCCUGGGGCUCUGUCCGAGCCAAGGCGAACACCUUUUCUGCAGCCCCAAUUAGCGCCCGGCGGAUUAGCACCUUCUUAAGCUCUGCCUGGAAGCAGCCGAGGUCUUUCGCCGUCCACCCCCACCCGCCGCGGACUGGGAGUCAGGGCUCCCCGCCCCCACGCGCCCCACCCCCGCCCGCCCCGAGAAAAGUUUUCACCGAAAACCCGAGGCUGCCAGAGCCGGAGUGGAAGCCACUGACGUCACUGGCGGGCUAGGGCACGGAGGGCGCCUGGAGACUCGGAUGGCGACCGAGGAUGUGGCUGCUUCCAAGCAGAGGCGCGGCGCCAGCUGCUGAAGUGGGAAGAGGGCAUGUUUCUGUCGGAGGGGUCUGGACAGACGCCUGCGUCCCUUUACGCAGCCCUGGGGAGCUCCUGAUCAUCCUCGCCAAGCUCAGAGGCCUCCAAGCGCGGCCAAGCUUGGCUGGCGAAGCCGUGGCGCCCCGGCCCUUUCUCGCCUCUGCACCGGCUGUGCUCCGAGCUGCCUCCCUUCCAAGGACACUGGGCAGCCGGCUUCCUUCUGCUUCUGCCCCCCUCCCCCCGCUUAGAAACGGUACUUUCCGUUGGGUCCCCCAGAGCAGCCCAGGGUCUAACUCCCAACGCCCCGCGGCCCCAUGUUAAAGCUCCUGCGGUGAGCGGGCCUUGCGCGCAGCGCCCUGGCAGUCUUGCAAACAGGAUUCCUGGGAAAGUUUGCUCGGACUCCGUCAGCCCAGGACAGACCCCCCCCCCCACCUCUGCUGCUCUCGACCUCUGCCCCCAGAGGCAGGAGUUGGGCUUCCUGGGAGCAGCAAGCCAACGCCACGGCCCCUCCUCCCUCCACAGCUGCCGGUCCCGAGGGCGCAGGACCCAGCCCCAGGCUGUGCUCCCGGAGCCGGGGGAGGAGAGCGAACCUCAGGGCUGGCUCUCCACAGCCGCCGGAGCUGAGUGCAUCCCGAUCGGCUUUUAGGAUGGCAUUGACUGGGACAAGCUGUUCCCAGCCCCGUAAGCGUUAAUCUGCCUGUUAAUCAAAGCACUGAGGGGCUCAAUGAGGGUUUUAUUAGCGACCGGAGAGCAGAGGCAGCAGCCAGGGAUCAAAAGCCAGGGUCCCAGGUACUUUGUCAGCAAGGCACUCAAAAAAAUUGUAUUUUCAAUUAGAGAACAAUUCGGGGCUUUUCAUCAUCUCCUAACCAGGUCUCACAGAUGCUGACUUCCAGACUGUGCGCAGGGGAGAACCAAAUGCCCGGGGGCGGACCGGGGCGGCCGAGGGGCCCUGACGCCUCCCGACGCAGUCGAAAGGGAAGCCGCGAGCCACACCGCCAAUGUGGGCUUCAGACCCUGGGUCGCCCGCGCCACUGCCGGGCUGCCGGAAGUUUACGGAGCCGGAGCCGAGAGACUCCCACGCGCCUCCUCUGCCCUGGAGGGAGGCUGGGUCCCCUCCAGGGUGCCUCUCAAACCCUAAAACAAAUACAUAAAAGCCCAGGCCUUGGGGACUUUUGAACAGCAAUUGCUCCAAUAAUCCAAAUUGUACGAGAACUCCAGGGAAAAGAGCCAACCCAGCCACACCCGCCCUGCGAUCGCGAGGGCAGCGGCGAGGCCACCGCGAGGACUCGGUCAGAGGCGAUUAUGUCACCGCGUUUUCUCGCCGUGACAGCCGAAUAAACACGAUCUCCAAUAAACAUCUCUAAUGAGGGAGGAGGCCCGAGGACGGCUGGGUUUGAUUUAUGACUGGAGAAGGUCCUCUGCCCACAGCGAGGCGGGCAGCCUGCUCUCCGCUCAGCUCGAGGAGAGAUCCGCGUGGGACCCAGCCCAGAAAUUAAGAGAAGAAGAGGAGAAGUGCGCACACUACUGAGAAAACACCAUGUGCAUCUCUGGAGCAUUGCAGACGCCAUACCAGCGUAGCCCAGAGAAGAAACCAGCUGGGCUGUGAGGGUGCUUUCCUGCUCCUCCCUUCCUUCUUUCGUUUUAACCCUUUUUAUAUUUUAGAUGAAAAUUGCGGGAACGUUUUGUGAACCCGAACGUAAAAAAGGAAGCUAUUUAGCAGAGGCGCUGUUUGCGGCUCUUCGCCUGUCUGAGGGACUCCAUUGGGCCUGCUCUGCACACCUCUGAUUUCUCUGCCCUUACAAGAAGAGCAUCUCGGGCCUCCUUCUCUGCAAAAAGUUUUCUUCAACCUUGGAGAAAAAUAUCCAGUCCUUCCAGUUAGAGUUCCCAGUACUAAAUCCCUACUUCAGUCAGUUCAAGGAAUCGGCCACCCUCUCCUAAGCGCGUUUCCUAUGAAGGCAUCGCGCACUGUGUUUGAUUUCUGUCUCUCCGUCUGGGUGGAGAUGGAGACAUCAGCUGAAUUCCCUGGGGGUGAUUGGAUGCGACUCGCUGCAAGUCGACAGGCACGUCCUGGAUGUUAGAGAUUCACUUCUGCUCAACGUGACAAGGCCGGCUUCGAUCUGCAAUUGUAUUUGAAUGGGCAAUGAGCGGAAAGAUGCCUCGUCAUUAAGCCUGCUUCUACUUUAGCAAAAUAAGGGGCAGCUUCAUUUGCACACAAAUGCUCAUGAAGCUCGGAUUCCUGCAACUCUUUAAUAAAGGGGUGGCUGUGUAAUCUAAACUGGAGGUGAGGAGGAGGCAGAGGGAGAUGAGGUGCUCCACUGCGUGCCCCCCAAGGUCUGUGUGAUCCAGUUGACUUUUUUACUUGAAAUCUUAAAUAAGAUGGGAGUUGUAACAAGAGGAUUGGCACUUACUCCGUGACCCUUAUAAUUGGAUUAAAUAUAGACUGAGACAUACAAAGACACCGGAGAUUGACACCUGCCAACCGGACUUCCUUAUGACUGAUGGUGAUGCUUCGUGCUGGCAACAAUAAUGAAAUAAAUUGUAC
RNAcentral lists this long non-coding RNA (2981 nucleotides) under Heterocephalus glaber (naked mole-rat). RNAcentral's name for it is "lncRNA (ENSHGLG00000047804.1)". Lineage: Eukaryota; Metazoa; Chordata; Mammalia; Rodentia; Bathyergidae. The record is from RNAcentral.